Long non-coding RNA from Oncorhynchus kisutch (coho salmon), 1835 nucleotides. RefSeq lists it as uncharacterized. Lineage: Eukaryota; Metazoa; Chordata; Actinopteri; Salmoniformes; Salmonidae. The record is from RefSeq and is a predicted model, not a curated record. The transcript has 3 exons.
AUAGGACUGUUUCGGUUUUGCCACGUUUAUUGUGUUCAUGUUUAGUUUCGCUGAUUAAAGAACAUGAACUCUAACCACGCUGCAUUUUGGUCUUCUCCUUCGACGGAGGAAAGCCGUUACACCUACCUGGUUAAAUAAAGGUGAAAUAAAAAAUUAAAAAAUUACAUGCAACACUUUGGGGUGGGCACCCACCUGCCGGAGUCAUUGAGAGAUGAUUUGAAAUAGUUUCUCAGUGUGGAAGUACUCCCAGUACUUUUAUUUGGUAGAAGGACAAAAUGACAAGAAUAUAACUGUAAAAAGUGUAAACUGUGCCUAGGAGAGAAACACCUUUCCACUGCAAGAAACACAACUUCCAACCUCUUGAAGCACCUGCAAAAGCAUCACGCCAUGACAAAACUCACAGCGAAAGACCCCCAAGCCUGACCACUGCUGCUGAAGAUAACUGUAGACAUACCUCCUCCAAACAACCCAGGCUUGAUUUGAAUCAUUCAGGAGGACAGGCUGUAACCCAGGGAGAGCUGAACAUGCUUGUAGCUGGUUAUGGCUCCAACACUGGUGAAGGUGAUGCUAAUUGACAUUGAGCCCCUACCUUCCCCCUCUAUGCUUGCUGAUAGAGGUGUUUGUUGUUGCCUCUCAGCAGGGGGAACCAUCAGGCCCAGGCCAAAUACAGCCUAUGGCACAACAAAGAUUGGAGUGACUGUGCUGUCCAGGAUUUAGGCUGAGACCUGGGCAGCUGAUGGAAUGCCCGCUGCCCUGGCUGGGUCUGCACUGACAUGGCAGGCCCCUAGUCCACCAAGAGCCCUAAGGAGCUCUUAGGCACUUCUUUCUGAGUGGGCCAAGGAGCCACAUGGACAGUUGGUGUGGGAAAAGACCAUUCAGGAAUGGUAGAUGGGAGACAGCAGGAAGUUUACCUUAUCUCAGAAACUUGAGGUAAAUUGCGGGGCCCCCCACCAAAAAAAAUACAAUAAUAAAAAAUAUAUAUUUUUAGAGGAACUCAGUCCGGCUUUAAACUUACUCUUGAAUGUUUGAAUAGUAGAGUGCACAAGGUUCAUUUUCGAAACUGUAUCAUCAGUUCCUCUUGUCAUGUCAGUCAUUGCAUACCUUAAAGAGCUAUUUAUAACUUGUCAGAAAUGUCCAGAUCAAGUUUUCACCAGGUUUUUAGCCCAUAGAUAUUGUUGUAAUUUUUUGGUCACUCAAAUAUUACAUGAACACACAUUAGACAUGGCAAAAUGUUAUUUUCACCCCAUGACAAAAUGUGUAGAAUUGCAAUAAAUAAGCUUUAAACUUGCAAACACGUUCUCCACCAACAAGAGGGGUGUGAACAGUGUGUCAUGAACAGUGCUUGUGCCCGCAGAAAUAGACGAGUCACCCACGGGGGGGGGGGGGGGGUCUUCCCCAAUGCUGGGAACCCCUGAUCUCCAUGAAGGCAGCUGCCACUUCAUUAAAGCUAAUUAGAUGCCAUUUACCACAGCACACUGCAUUUUUUCCCCACAGGUGACAGUUUUUGCACUCUCUAUCAGAAACUAGACUGGCCUUCUUUGACGUCGCAUAUUUAAAAAAAAAAAAAAAAUCAUUCUGUUUUGCAAAAACUCCCGCAUUACCUAUUGCCAUUACUAACCUUUAGAUGUACGAGAUAACAUACCAGGUCACAAGGGCUGCCGAACUUUGAAAUUCCAUCUGUCACUACAGAUUUAAGUAAAACAGCUUUUAGUUUCUUCGCAUCCCACUUAUGUAACAAUCUACAGAAUACCCUACAGUUGGAUGCAUUGGUGCCUUUCGUACAGUUCAGAGAGUUGGUAGAGGACGUCUUCGCUGAAGAAUGUAGAUGCUUUUUU